Molecule: ribosomal RNA, 253 nt
Filed under: uncultured prokaryote
Description: partial 16S ribosomal RNA
Rfam family: Bacterial small subunit ribosomal RNA
Source: RNAcentral
CACGUAGGGCGCAAGCGUUGUCCGGAAUUAUUGGGCGUAAAGAGCUCGUAGGUGGUCUGUUGCGUCCGCUGUGAAAACUCGGGGCUUAACCCCGAGCCUGCAGUGGAUACGGGCAGACUAGAGGUAGGUAGGGGAGAAUGGAAUUCCUGGUGUAGCGGUGAAAUGCGCAGAUAUCAGGAGGAACACCGGUGGCGAAGGCGGUUCUCUGGGCCUUACCUGACACUGAGGAGCGAAAGCUAGGGUAGCGAACGGG